Long non-coding RNA from Caretta caretta (loggerhead turtle), 717 nucleotides. RefSeq lists it as uncharacterized. NCBI's taxonomy places the organism in Eukaryota, Metazoa, Chordata, Testudines, Cheloniidae. The record is from RefSeq and is a predicted model, not a curated record.
GGGAACUGAUUAUCUCUAUGCGGCUUGGACUCUGGGUGGCAAGGUUAUUCUAGGCAUAAUCAAGAGAUCCCCAGUUUAUUACAGGAUUGGCUACAAGCAUUGUCUUUGGCAUGAGAUCUGAGGAGUAAUUGACCUGGGAUAACUGAGUCAUCCUUUGUGACUGGGAAUAACCUCAAUAUCGCUGUGAUUCUUGGUGAAUGGGAUCAUCUAUCACAAAGGUUUCAUUCGUUCCCUCUCUCCAUUGCUCACUCCACACCACCAGAGGGGGGAAAAAAAUCACUGUUUUGGAGAUAUUGCGCCCCAGCCUUGGGUAGCACCUAUUUUUGAAUUACAUUUUCCAUACAUCUUAUUAACCGGGAUCAAGCUUUCUGUAAACUGAGUAAUAACUAUGGGACCUUAUUUCCAAGGUUUUAACCUCCUCAGUUCCCACUGACUCCCCCUGGAGCUGAAGAUGCUCAGCACCUUACGCCAGGCAGUCAUUGCCUUUCAGAAUCCAGUCACUCUUCCCAAAGGCCUCACUGUUAAUUUGCUGUCAACACCUUAGCCUUUAGUCUUGGAGUUCAUUUAACCCACGAUAUGAUUAUUAGAGCUGUGUAGAGGAUGGAAAUUCUGUUUCGUGAAGGAUUUUGAGAUUUCAAAAUCUGGCUUCAUUCCAAAUGUGAGUGAAAACCGAAAAUUGCAGUGUUCUCCAUGAAGGAAAAUUCUCCCCCCAAAUUA